GCGCGAAAACUUUACAAUGCUGGCAACAGCGAUAAGGGAACCUCGAGUGCCAGGUUACAAAUCUGGCUGUCGAGAUGCCUAAAAAGCAUUUCAUAGCAAGGGCCGGGCAAGACCGGUGCCAGCCGCCGCGGUAACACCGGCGGCUCGAGUGGUAACCGUUAUUAUUGGGUCUAAAGGGUCUGUAGCCGGCCGGAUAAGUCUCUUGAGAAAUCUGGCAGCUUAACUGUCAGGCUUUCAGGAGAUACUGUCUGGCUCGAGGCCGGGAGAGGUGAGAGGUACUUCAGGGGUAGGGGUGAAAUCUUGUAAUCCUUGAAGGACCACCAGUGGCGAAGGCGUCACACCAGAACGGAGCUGUCGGCAAGGGACGAAAGCUAGGGGCACGAACC
Molecule: ribosomal RNA, 386 nt
Filed under: uncultured prokaryote
Description: bacterial SSU rRNA
Rfam family: Archaeal small subunit ribosomal RNA
Source: RNAcentral